UGGUUCAUGUUAUUUUUUGUGGGCCUAGUUUUUCUACAAUGAGUUCUGUAAGCGAAGGCCAAUCUUAAGCGCCACAACCCAGUAGUUGUGACUUGUAUUGUCCUAUUUUUUAUGGACUGUGUUUUGCUCUACUGUUAGGUAGUGUUAAAAUGGAUUUUCCAUACAUAUCAAGUACUUACACAUAAGAAAGUGAUGUAGGUAGUACUGAAGUAGGGUUCUGCAUCUGCCAAGAUGUAGCCAGGUACAGCCUAUGCAUCAUGAUAGAGACGCAUGAGAUACAUUUUAAAAAUUAUUUUUGGUAAUGGAUGAUACUUAAUAUGUCAUAAAAAUAAUUAGGUGCCCUCCGGUGUUCAAGCUUGAUGAAGCAGCACUUACACAAUCAUUCCCAGUGGUGGAUGUGAAGAACACAUGUUUUGGCUGUGCUGUUUGU
This 430-nucleotide long non-coding RNA is filed under the name Triticum aestivum (bread wheat). Its description in RNAcentral is "long non-coding RNA (TAES_LNC024210)". The record is from RNAcentral. Lineage: Eukaryota; Viridiplantae; Streptophyta; Magnoliopsida; Poales; Poaceae.